RNAcentral lists this ribosomal RNA (234 nucleotides) under uncultured bacterium. Its description in RNAcentral is "partial 16S ribosomal RNA". It matches the Rfam family "Bacterial small subunit ribosomal RNA", at positions 118 to 348 of the family's 1533-position model. The record is from RNAcentral.
UGAGGAACAUGACCUUCGGCGGGGGAGUAGCCGGCCCAACGGCCAGGUAAUACCGCGUACGACCACUUUGGGACAUCCCUCGGUGGUGAAAGCAGCAAUGCGUCGAUGGAGUGCCUCGCGGCCUAUCAGCUAGUUGGUGAGGUAACGGCUCACCAAGGCGACGACGGGUAGCUGGUCUGAGAGGAUGGCCAGCCACAUUGGAACUGAGACACGGUCCAGACUCCGUAGGGACGG